AUCUUUUUUGGUUCAUAAGCAUGAUGGUUGGGUGUUCACAUGGCUGCAUGACAUGUGCCGCCCUCAAACCUUGUUAUGCAUCAGCAUAUUACCCAUCUGAUA
This is a small nucleolar RNA of Nannospalax galili (Upper Galilee mountains blind mole rat), 102 nucleotides long. RefSeq annotates it as small nucleolar RNA U13. The record is from RefSeq and is a predicted model, not a curated record. Lineage: Eukaryota; Metazoa; Chordata; Mammalia; Rodentia; Spalacidae. The transcript has a single exon.